CGCAGCACGUGUUUCAGAGAGCACAGGGUUGGGGGUAAGGGAAUCAAAGUGGACUUAUAAAGCCAAUAAAGCCCCUUGGGAAAGCUGGCCUCAUGCAUUGUCUACAGAGUCCUUGUACAGAGUUCCUGACCAGUGACAAUUCACCCCUUAUUUCUGCACCCGGGCCAGGCUGCUCUUACCUCUCAACCCUGUUACCCACUGGUUCUCAGUAUGCGCCUGAGAUCCCAGGGAAGGUGCUUGGAAUAGAUCUGAGUAUUCUGCCUGAGACAGGACUUGGAGUGACUCUGAUGGAGUCUUGCUAUGUUGCCCAGGCUAGUCUCAAAUUCC
Molecule: long non-coding RNA, 327 nt
Organism: Homo sapiens (human)
Lineage: Eukaryota; Metazoa; Chordata; Mammalia; Primates; Hominidae
Exons: 4
Source: RefSeq, a predicted model, not a curated record